This 603-nucleotide long non-coding RNA is filed under the name Homo sapiens (human). RNAcentral describes it as "novel transcript". The record is from RNAcentral. Lineage: Eukaryota; Metazoa; Chordata; Mammalia; Primates; Hominidae.
GUUACAGUGGAUGCGAACUAACCAUGCAGCAGCAGCCGGAACCCACAGUUCACCUUGGUGCAUUCCUUUAUGAUGAAGACUUAUUGAUUCAUUAUAUGAGAAAGGAAAAAUGAGCAGAAACUACUGUAUGAUGUGCAGCUCACACCAGACAGCAACUUUAGGUGCUUCAUGCAGACAUCUGUACACCAGAUUUACUUCUGCAAAAUGCUGAUGCUAUGAAUAAUGCUUUUGAAUAUUAAUAAGGCAAAACAGACCAGAUAAGAUUAGCAUAUUCGUAGUCUGGAAAAUGCUAUACAAAGAAUGUAAAGCAUGAAACUACUUGUGGACCAAAUGAAAAACUGUGGAGCAGAUUAUGAUGCAGUUAGACCUUGCUUGAAUGACUUUGACCCACAAAAGCAGAGUAAUUUAUCCCUACUUACAGAGAGAUUGCCCUACGUGUAACAGCUGCAUACAAAAAAGUUAUAAAAUUAUCAUUGGUUUAACAAGGAUAAGUGAAAAACAUUAAAAUUCUCCAACUGAACAAGGUGUGUCUGUUUCAUUGAUUGGCUGACUGUCAAAUCGGAAUCUGAUCUGCCCCAUUGACAAUGCCUUGGGCUUUUCCUC